RNAcentral lists this ribosomal RNA (372 nucleotides) under uncultured bacterium. RNAcentral's name for it is "bacterial SSU rRNA". It matches the Rfam family "Bacterial small subunit ribosomal RNA", at positions 524 to 898 of the family's 1533-position model. The record is from RNAcentral.
UACGGAGGAUGCGAGCGUUAUCCGGAUUUAUUGGGUUUAAAGGGUGCGUAGGCUGAAUAUCAAGUCAGCGGUGAAACGUUACAGCUUAACUGUGACCGUGCCGUUGAAACUGUUAUUCUGGAGUGCGAGCGAGGUAGGCGGAAUGUGCCGUGUAGCGGUGAAAUGCAUAGAUAUGGCACAGAACUCCGAUUGCGAAGGCAGCUUACCAGUACGCUACUGACGCUGAGGCACGAAAGCGUGGGUAUCGAACAGGAUUAGAUACCCUGGUAGUCCACGCGGUAAACGAUGGUCACUAGCUGUUUGCGAUAUACAGUAAGCGGCCGAGCGAAAGCGUUAAGUGAUCCACCUGGGGAGUACGUUGGCAACAAUGAA